RNAcentral lists this ribosomal RNA (407 nucleotides) under uncultured bacterium. Its description in RNAcentral is "partial 16S ribosomal RNA". It matches the Rfam family "Bacterial small subunit ribosomal RNA", at positions 30 to 526 of the family's 1533-position model. The record is from RNAcentral.
AUUGAACGCUAGCGGGAUGCUUUACACAUGCAAGUCGAACGGAGUGGCGGACGGGUGAGUAAUAUCUCGGAACGUGCCCGGUAGCGGGGGAUAACUACUCGAAAGCGUGGCUAAUACCGCAUACUAUUAGAGCGGCCGAUAUCGGAUUAGCUAGUUGGUGGGGUAACGGCUCACAAAGGCAACGAUCCGUAGCUGGUUUGAGAGGACGACCAGCCAAACUGGAACUGAGACACGGCCCAGACUCCUACGGGAGGCAGCAGGGGGGAAUUUUGGACAAUGGGGGAAACCCUGAUGCAGCCAUCCCGCGUGUAUGAUGAAGGCCUUCGGGUUGUAAAGUACUUUUGGCAGAGAAGCGGUAUCUGCAGAAUAAGCACCGGCUAACUACGUGCCAGCAGCCGCGGUAAUUC